Molecule: ribosomal RNA, 118 nt
Filed under: Prevotellaceae bacterium HUN156
Lineage: Bacteria; Pseudomonadati; Bacteroidota; Bacteroidia; Bacteroidales; Prevotellaceae
Source: RNAcentral
AUUGGUGGUUAUAGCGUCGGUGGGGGAUAACACCUCUUCCCAUUUCGAACAGAGAAGCUAAGCCCGAUUGCGCCGAUGGUACUGCAAUAAAAUGCGGGAGAGUAGGACGCCGCCUCCC